CAAUUUUGUAGAUGAAGAAAUGGAAAUUCACAAAGCUUAAGCAACUUGAGGUGUUUAAUAGUGAGUAAUAUGGAGGUGGGAUUUGAACCUAUAUCUGACUGAUGAGAUCUGUGCUUCUGACCGUUUUACUCUACUAUCAAUAGCAAUUGGCUUUCAUCUCCUCUAGACACUCUUAUAGUCUGGCUUGACUGUUCCCUGGGCUGGGCAUGUGCCCUAUACCUGACCAACCAGAGAUCAUUGUAGGACAGAAGGGCGGGGCCAUAUCUGCCUAUGUGACAAUAAUUGUGCCCAUAUAAUGCCAUCAGUGAAUGUGUCCUUUGGAAAAUGAAGCCAAAUCAAGAGACCAUUGAGCCAAGAGAAAAGAGAUAAUUUGGAUGGCAUUGAUAGAUAGAACCUUUGGAUCAAGCACUGCCAGUUCCUAUCUUGACUUCCUCAAUUAUGCCAGCCAGUGUUCUAAAUCAGGAGCCAAAAGAAGUUGGAGCAGCUGGGGCCAAUUUUUACAUGUAAAACUAACAGAGCAAUUUGGCUGUCUGAUGCUGAACUGAAGAGUGACUUUCCUUUAACUUUGUCAUCACUACAGCAUCCAACCUGCCCUGUUCCAGAUGUGCAACAACUGGGCUUUGAAAGAGUGUGACUAGAAAAUCAAACAAGGCACGUGGACACACAAAGGAGAUAAGAGGCUCCAAGAGAUCACGUUCCUUUCUUGUGUAAUUUCUUUCAUCUAAUUCUGUCAACAUUUACUGGAAACCUCUAUCUGGAACACAGAUUACCUCAAGUAAUCUGCCUGCCUCAGCCUCCCAAAGAACUGGGACUGCAGGCAUGAGCCACCACGCCCAGACAAUUUAUAAUCCUAGUGAUCAUGUUAGAACAACAUCUGUUGUCAACCAAUCAUUGAGUAUUUGUUGAGGAUAUUCUUCGUGCUACAUUAAGUGAAUGCAGGCAGCAUAUCAAGUCUCUACCUUUUUCACAACCUAGUUUGGUGAGAUAAUGUUAGUAUAGAUUAAGCAAUUGUUACUAGUAAAAAUCAGUAUAUUAUUAAUACUAAGUUGUGUGGCACAGACUAGAACUCUCAGAAAAGAGGCUGCAAUCAUAAAUAUGGUGAGAGUCAGAGAUCCUUCUGGGCUUUAAAGAAAUGCUUAAUCAUAGACUGUGUACCUAUCCCCCUGCUGAACAAGACACAUCCUUAGUUUCAAGACAGACUGGGGUUUGGGAAUAUGGGUAGCUCUGUGCUAAUGCAUCACCCCACUGAGGAAACAGGGUUUGUAUUCUACUUACUGUGGCUUCAUUGCAUAAAUUUUAUGCUCAUUGGAGAGAAUAUUUACUCACAAUCUAGCCCAUCCAUUCUUAUAAAAGAGACCUCUGAAAGCUAAGAGUCACUUUCCUGAGGGAAAUGCAAGACUCUGGGAGAGAGAGGGCACUUUGAGAAUGGGAAAAUUGCCUGUGAAAUCAAAUUUAGGCGAAAAGAUAGCCCAGCAGCCAUAUGUAAAUCAUUCCCUCAUGUAGGAACAAUGCUGUGCACUUGGUAAUUCAAUAGAAAACAUUAGUCAUUUAUCAUCCUUAAUUAUCAGUCAUCUCUAACUGCAUCUGGUUUGCAUUUUUUAUUAGAAAGGUUUUUUUUUUUUUGAGUUGGACUCAGGCAUUUUUUUUCUUCCGUUCCUGAUUUCAUUUUGUUAUUCUUUUUAAAAUUCCAUCACUAAUUCCCAUGAUGUGAAGAGGUUUCUAUUUCAUAAGACACAAUAAAUCAAGCAACGCCUCUGUUGUAACGUCGUCCUUACUGCGCAUUUGUCAUGGGCCCUGGAUUGCUGAGUUUACUCAAGGUUAGAGAGUCAAGCUGCUUUGAGGACACACUUGGCCAGUGCCGUGAGCAUGCACGUAGCCCCAUCAGAGGAGCCGAAGGUAUAAAACUUCCGUCAACUUGAGCGACCACAGCUGCUUCAGAAAAGUCAUGGGGCAAAAAGUGACCCUGGGAGAUUUUGAAGUUUGAGUGCUCUUGUCCUGGCACUCUGGACAGUGUAUGAUGGCCACGUCACACUUUUGUAGGAAGAACUCAUGGUAACGAGUCAUGUUUUUCUCUCAUAGGAUAAUAGUAACAGCGAAUAUUUAUUAAGAAUUUUCUGCGUGUUCUGCAUUGUGC
RNAcentral lists this long non-coding RNA (2134 nucleotides) under Homo sapiens (human). RNAcentral describes it as "non-protein coding lnc-TRMT11-1:2". Lineage: Eukaryota; Metazoa; Chordata; Mammalia; Primates; Hominidae. The record is from RNAcentral.